GUCAUAUGCUUGUCUCAAAGAUUAAGCCAUGCAUGUCUCAGUACAAGCCAAAUUAAGGUGAAACCGUGAAAGGCUCAUUAAAUCAGUUAUGGUUCCUUAGAUCGUACCCACAAUUACUUGGAUAACUGUGGUAAUUCUAGAGCUAAUACAUGCAAACAGAGCUCCGACCGGAGACGGAAGGAGUGCUUUUAUUAGAUCAAAACCAAUCGGUGGCGGGUUCGCGCUCGUCAUCGUACAACUUGGUGACUCUGAAUAACUUUAUGCUGAUCGCACGGUCAUCGCACCGGCGACGCAUCUUUCAAAUGUCUGCCUUAUCAACUGUCGAUGGUAGGUUCUGCGCCUACCAUGGUUGUAACGGGUAACGGGGAAUCAGGGUUCGAUUCCGGAGAGGGAGCCUGAGAAACGGCUACCACAUCCAAGGAAGGCAGCAGGCGCGCAAAUUACCCACUCCCGGCACGGGGAGGUAGUGACGAAAAAUAACGAUACGGGACUCAUCCGAGGCCCCGUAAUCGGAAUGAGUACACUCUAAACCCUUUAACGAGGAUCAAUUGGAGGGCAAGUCUGGUGCCAGCAGCCGCGGUAAUUCCAGCUCCAAUAGCGUAUAUUAAAGUUGUUGCGGUUAAAAAGCUCGUAGUCGAAUUUGUGUCUCGUGCCGCCGGUUCAUCGUCCGCGGUGUUAACUGGCGAGUCGCGAGACGUCCUGCCGGUGGGCUUAGCUCGCGAGGGCGGCCCAACUCAAUCCUGCCGCGGUGCUCUUCAUUGAGUGUCGAGGUGGGCCGGCACGUUUACUUUGAACAAAUUAGAGUGCUUAAAGCAGGCUAAAACUUCGCCUGAAUACUGUGUGCAUGGAAUAAUGGAAUAGGACCUCGGUUCUAUUUUGUUGGUUUUCGGAACCCCGAGGUAAUGAUUAAUAGGAACGGAUGGGGGCAUUCGUAUUGCGACGUUAGAGGUGAAAUUCUUGGAUCGUCGC
RNAcentral lists this ribosomal RNA (969 nucleotides) under Trigonopterus ovatulus. RNAcentral's name for it is "SSU rRNA". It matches the Rfam family "Eukaryotic small subunit ribosomal RNA", at positions 23 to 931 of the family's 1831-position model. Lineage: Eukaryota; Metazoa; Arthropoda; Insecta; Coleoptera; Curculionidae. The record is from RNAcentral.